GCCAGGUGUGGUGGUGGGCACCUGUAAUCCCAGCUACUUGGGAGGCUGAGGCAGGAGAAUCGCUUGAACCCAAGAGGCGGAGGUUGCACUGAGCCGAGAUUGUGCCAUUGCACUCCAGCCUGGGCAACAAGAGUGAAACUCCAUAUCAGAAAAUAAAUAAAUAAAUAAAGAUUCAGCUUACUGCUAACACCUAAAUAAAUCUUUAUUGCAAAGCUGGACAUGGUGGCUCAUGCCUGUGAUCUCAGCACUUUAAGAGGCCGAGGCGGGUGCCUCACUUGAGCUUAGGAGUUCGAAACCAGCCUAGGUAACAUAGUGAGAACUCGUCUCUAUUUAAAAAACAAAACAAAAACUUUAUUGAAGUCUUCCUAUCCCUAUCCUACUCAGAAUCCUCCUAAACUGGAAGUAAUUCCUCCCUUUUCUAUGCUCAAUAGAUGGCAUCUCUUUGUAAUUCUUUGCUGCAUUUAUUAUGCAAAUAUAAUCCUAUAAGUAGAAAAUGUAUAUUUUACAGCUGUCUCACCAAACGUUGAGAAUUUGAAGGCAGGGAUUGGUCAUAUCUAUCUUUCACAAUACAUGUAGCAUAGCCACGGCACAAUGAAGCCAACACAUGUUUAUUAAAUGUUGGAAUAAAAUAAUUUAAAAUGGCUUCUAAAUAAAAAUUAUAUAAAAAAGAAAAUGUUAAAUCCAAGGUCUAAAUAAAUAAACACUUCUUCUUCUUUUUUUUUUUUUUUUUUAAUGGGAGAUGGAGUCUUGCUGUCGCCCAGGAUGGAGUGCAC
This 773-nucleotide long non-coding RNA is filed under the name Homo sapiens (human). Its description in RNAcentral is "HSALNT0219408". Lineage: Eukaryota; Metazoa; Chordata; Mammalia; Primates; Hominidae. The record is from RNAcentral.